ACUUGAAUGGUUUAAGAGAGGAAAAUAUCAAUUUGUGGUGUUGGUGAUGUAUUUAUGAAGUACUUCAGGUG
This 71-nucleotide transfer RNA is filed under the name Margattea spinifera. RNAcentral describes it as "tRNA-His". The record is from RNAcentral. Lineage: Eukaryota; Metazoa; Arthropoda; Insecta; Blattodea; Pseudophyllodromiidae.